Molecule: ribosomal RNA, 421 nt
Filed under: uncultured bacterium
Lineage: Bacteria
Description: bacterial SSU rRNA
Rfam family: Bacterial small subunit ribosomal RNA
Source: RNAcentral
UAAGGAAUAUUGGUCAAUGGACGCAAGUCUGAACCAGCCAUGCCGCGUGAAGGAUGAAGGUCCUCUGGAUUGUAAACUUCUUUUAUCUGGGACGAAAACGGGAUUUUUAUCUCAAUUGACGGUACCAGAGGAAUAAGCACCGGCUAACUCCGCGCCAGCAGCCGCGGUAAUACGGAGGGUGCGAGCGUUAUCCGGAUUUACUGGGUUUAAAGGGUGCGUAGGUGGGCUUAUAAGUCAGUGGUGAAAUCUCCGAGCUUAACUUGGAAACUGCCGUUGNUACUAUAGGUCUUGAAUUAUCUGGAGGUAAGCGGAAUAUGUCAUGUAGCGGUGAAAUGCUUAGAUAUGACAUAGAACACCAAUUGCGAAGGCAGCUUACUACAUAUAAAUUGACGCUGAGGCACGAAAGCGUGGGGAUCAAACA